Molecule: long non-coding RNA, 388 nt
Organism: Camelus dromedarius (Arabian camel)
Lineage: Eukaryota; Metazoa; Chordata; Mammalia; Artiodactyla; Camelidae
Exons: 3
Source: RefSeq, a predicted model, not a curated record
CUAGACAGAGAAGAAAAGGAGGCUCCCUGAUACAGAAUGCUCUCCAGUGCGCAUGCUCUGAAAGAUCCAGCCCAGCAGAGAACACAAAACGUUCUGGUAACUAUCAAAGGUCAGAUGGAGCGCCACAGAAAUUCACUGAAGGCUGCUAGCCAGGAGACUCAAGAAGGAAUUGUUCAAAAGGAGAACUAUCCAAACAUUGUCCUCUCCCUUUGCAGCCUAAACAGGAAAGAGAACUCAUAGAGCGCCAGUUCUCUGUGGCACUGAAACUCACCCAGCCUGAUUUCUUUAUCCGUAAAACGUGCAAUGUCUACAGCAAAGGUAAGAGCAUUGGCCACGGGGAAGCACUGCCCCACGUGCCCAUUCCAGGAAGGACUGGGUACUGCUCAGC